Molecule: ribosomal RNA, 227 nt
Filed under: Terfezia claveryi
Lineage: Eukaryota; Fungi; Ascomycota; Pezizomycetes; Pezizales; Pezizaceae
Description: 5.8S ribosomal RNA
Rfam family: 5.8S ribosomal RNA (bases 53-206)
About the family: 5.8S ribosomal RNA (5.8S rRNA) is a component of the large subunit of the eukaryotic ribosome. It is transcribed by RNA polymerase I as part of the 45S precursor that also contains 18S and 28S rRNA.
Source: RNAcentral
ACUUGAUUUUUAAAAAAAUACAAUGUCUGAAUAAUUUCCUUUAAUGAAAUAAAACUUUCAACAACGGAUCUCUAGGCUCUUGCAUCGAUGAAGAACGCAGUGAAAUGCGAUAAGUAAUGUGAAUUGCAGAAUCUCGUGAAUCAUCGAAUCUUUGAACGCACAUUGCGCCCUUUGGUAUUCCAUAGUGCAUGCCUGUCUGAGCGACAGCUCCCCCUCACUCAAGUAUC